Molecule: long non-coding RNA, 231 nt
Organism: Rhipicephalus microplus (southern cattle tick)
Lineage: Eukaryota; Metazoa; Arthropoda; Arachnida; Ixodida; Ixodidae
Source: RefSeq, a predicted model, not a curated record
GGACCAAAAUCUGAGACAGUGUCCAUUCUCUGCGGAGCACAUGGUUCCGGCCUACAGGCUAAUGGAACACAUCUUUCGCUGCAACUUGAAUCGUACAACUGAGGUCUUCUUUACGCCAACUGUAGAUGGCAAGACUGACGACCAGGAGCAGUAAACAGCCACAAAAGGUCGCCCAGUCUUCAUCUAACGAGAGGUUAGAACGAACUCUCCAGUUGUGUCUGGAAGCAGCCA